CAACCCUUAUCCUUUGUUGCCAGCGAUUAGGUCGGGAACUCAAAGGAGACUGCCAGUGAUAAACUGGAGGAAGGUGGGGAUGACGUCAAGUCAUCAUGGCCCUUACGACCAGGGCUACACACGUGCUACAAUGGCGCAUACAAAGAGAAGCGACCUCGCGAGAGCAAGCGGACCUCAUAAAGUGCGUCGUAGUCCGGAUUGGAGUCUGCAACUCGACUCCAUGAAGUCGGAAUCGCUAGUAAUCGUGGAUCAGAAUGCCACGGUGAAUACGUUCCCGGGCCUUGUACACACCGCCCGUCACACCAUGGGAGUGGGUUGCAAAAGAAGUAGGUAGCUUAACCUUCGGGAGGGCGCUUACCACUUUGUGAUUCAUGACUGGGGUGAAGUCGUAACAAGGUAACCGUAGGGGAACCUGCGGUUGGA
RNAcentral lists this ribosomal RNA (423 nucleotides) under Salmonella enterica subsp. enterica serovar Potsdam. RNAcentral describes it as "bacterial SSU rRNA". It matches the Rfam family "Bacterial small subunit ribosomal RNA", at positions 1099 to 1522 of the family's 1533-position model. RNAcentral also lists the same sequence under 3 other names. The record is from RNAcentral. Lineage: Bacteria; Pseudomonadati; Pseudomonadota; Gammaproteobacteria; Enterobacterales; Enterobacteriaceae.